AUCCUUUGUUGCCAGCGAUUCGGUCGGGAACUCAAAGGAGACUGGCGGUGAUAAACCGGAGGAAGGGGGGGAUGACGUCAAGUCAUCAUGGCCCUUACGAGUAGGGCUACACACGUGCUACAAUGGGGCAUACAAAGAGAAGCGACCUCGCGAGAGCAAGCGGACCUCACAAAGUGCGUCGUAGUCCGGGUCGGAGUCUGCAACUCGACUC
This 211-nucleotide ribosomal RNA is filed under the name Pantoea agglomerans. Its description in RNAcentral is "partial 16S ribosomal RNA". It matches the Rfam family "Bacterial small subunit ribosomal RNA", at positions 1107 to 1318 of the family's 1533-position model. Lineage: Bacteria; Pseudomonadati; Pseudomonadota; Gammaproteobacteria; Enterobacterales; Erwiniaceae. The record is from RNAcentral.